Molecule: ribosomal RNA, 98 nt
Filed under: Helianthus annuus (common sunflower)
Lineage: Eukaryota; Viridiplantae; Streptophyta; Magnoliopsida; Asterales; Asteraceae
Source: RNAcentral
CUUAGUUGACUUGAGAGCACAUAAAUACUUCACAGUUAAGCGUGCUUAGAAGGGAGUAGUACUAGGAUGGGUGACCUCUUGGAAGUCUCCACCAAAGC